AACCAUUACUCUUCUUUUUGAGCGGCAAUUUGUUUACAAGCGGCUUCUCAAACACGCAUUAUUCAAAAACCCUAAUUAUCAUCUUCUUCAAUUCUCUGGCGAUUUCAUACUUUUUCAAUUGUCUCAAACACAAAAACUCUAAUCCAGCCGAUCGAUCUUCAUCUGAUAAGUUUUUGACGGAUCGGGUUUUUCAAUUCCCCGCAAGUAGAGAAAAAGAUCAAGGUUGGUAUAUGCUUCUGAAUGUUUGAUUCUUUGUUUUUAUUAGUUUAUUUCAACAUAGAUCCAUGAGUUUAUACGACACCAAACCAUUUGUAAUCUGAUAAAAAUUGUGUUGUUAAUUGUGUGUCGUUUUGUUAAUUUGUUCUCUAUUUGCGAUUUGUAUUAAUGAUGGAUAAUGAAUUAGGGCACCAAAAGUGACUAAAAAUCUCAUCAUCUCAUUGCCAUUUACUAAUUCGGCUGAUCAUCCAACCUGGCCGGUUUGAUUUGUCGUUUCCCAAAACUAUAGUUAGCGGUUUGACCGAAUAUUAUAGUCAUAACAUGUAGCUAGCGGGUUGACCGCAAAAUUGAUAUACAAUAUCUCUGAUACUUUGAUGUAUCUGUAUAAGAUUUUGUGAAUGAGAUUAUAUGUGAAUAUCCCAUUUCUUAUGAUUAUUUGAUGUGGUGGUAUAUCUUGCGUAUGUAUGGUUUCUUGGAUGUGUUGGGGCUCUUCAGAAGUAAUUAAUCUGCCAAUAUGUCUUGCAAAUUUAUCCCGUAUAAUACACGGGUCUAUCACAUGUAAAUAUUUUUUUGGUCUUAACAUAAUGUUUUGUGGUUUUGAUUAUGUAUGUUUGAGGAUCCUGGCUAUGAUUUUGAUCAUGAUGACCACCAGAGGGGUUAAUGGAUUACAUCUAUACCUGGAAGCUGGUGCUUGAUCUAUAAUGGGUCAGAUAAUUUUUUAUAUCUUAAAGGGCUUAAAUGGGUCAAACAUGUAAUGAAGAUAGGAAGAUCCACUUCUGCACAAAAUAUGGGCUACUAUUAGAGAACAUAAAUUGGAUGAUGGCGAUGCUUUGGUUUUCAAAUUGAUUGAGCUACAAGAUUCAAGUUGAUUUUACAUUAAAAGAAUUACAAAAUUUAAGGGCAAAGAUGAGGGUUCCGUUCCGUGAUCAUCAGCAAUAUAAUGGUUAGUUUCCUUUUAAUUUUUAAGAGCCCAAUGUUCUUUGAAAUAAAAUCCAACAAUUUGCUGAAAAAUUAACCGGGGCUUUGUAAUAUAAGUUCAUAGAAGGUAUUUGAGCUCAUACAUUACAGAGGUGUUUUGCUUUGAACUGGUCAAGUACAUCAAACGGCUUAAAUAAAUAUUUAGCUCACUGCAUCUAAAUGCAUAAAAACUUUCAAAAACUGGAUCAGCAUUAUUAUAUUCUACUUUUAAAUCAUAUUAAUCUCUUCUUAUAAAACUAAUGGAUAGAGAAAGCAAAUAAAAUGUUGCAAGUUGGCCAAUCUGACUUAAUACGCAAGGUGGGAAUUUAAGUUGUGUUGAAAGGAUUAUAAAUCAUUUUUUGGCUUGUGAAGAGAAAGUUACAGUUCUUUCUCCGAGAACGAUUGUUUCGGAAGUAUCGCCGUCGUCUGUACCGUUGAGGAAAGUUUCAAAGCUUGUGGAUAAUUAUAUGGCGGAGGUUGCAUCUGAGGUGAAUUUGAAACCUGAAAAGAUGAAAUCGCUUGCGGAAAUUCUUCCUGAUUCUGCAAGAUCUUUGAAUAAUGGGUUGUAUAGAGCUUUGGAUGUGUAUUUUAAGGUUUGUUUCUUAUACUAGAGGUGGGAAAUGGGCGUGUCGGUGGGGUAGGUAACGAGUCAAAACUGGUAAUUUGGAUUUUUGGUGCUGGUCAAAACAGUAUGGUCUGGUUGGGUUGAUCUAGAAUAUUUUCUUUAAGUUUUUAGUAACAAGGUAACCAACUUUGGGCAAAUUUCUUUAUUAGGUAACCAACUGUAUUUAGACCACAGAAAACCACAUUAUUUUUAGAAGAGUAAAGUACACGGAUGUUCCCUAUGGUUUAUCGAAAUUUUGGAUUUGGUCCCUAACUUUCCAAAAGUACACCGAUGGUCCCUGUGGUUUGCACUUUGUAACGCAUUCAGUCCCUAACUCGGACAUGCCAAAAUUUUGGAUUUGACUUUAUUCUGACAUGACACUUGCAAAUCAAUACCUGAAGAUUACUUAAAGAGUUCUAUGUGAAGUUCAAAAAUGAAGUAUAGAGUCUUUGUAAAUAGUUUAUAUGGUUUAUGACACAAGAAAAUCCAUCCUAGAUGUUUGGAUAUUGAUGACGUGGACAUCUGUUAUGGAUUUUCUUUAACCUAAAACGCUUAUAAUGUCGGGUAAUUAAGCCCGUUACAUGCUUAUUCUUUUGUGAAACGUUGCAUCUGAUUCUUAGGUGUAUAGACACCUGAUUCUUAAUUUUUUAAUCCUAUAUUUUUUGGGCCAUUAAGAUUUGAUCUGGUGUCUUUUGACCCGUUACAUGUGUAUUUGGGUUCCUAAAUUUGUAUAUGGUUCAUUGUUGAGCUCUGUCUCUUUUGUAUAUGAGCCAAGGUGGGUGGAUGCCCAACACCAAACUUUUACAUGCCAAUGCUUUCGCCAAGUCAGCAGGCACCACAUCCAGGUGGAAGUUGUGUUGAUGUUCCUGGGAAGCAGAAUCAGCAACAACCCAUUCUUCAUACGCAGCAACAGCGGAAUAGCUGGAACCUGAGUCAGCAACAAAGGUAACUGAACUGCUAUUGGAGAUAGUUCUCUCAUCGCAUGAUUGAAAACCAUGCAGUGCUAAAAAGAUUAAUUUCAAAGUCUAGAUACAUUGUUGUGGUUAUCGUUUUUUGUUUUUAUUUUUCUAAAAUGAAGGGUACAAGAAUAGGUUGAAACAACAAUAUGUCGAGUUUCCAAAGGCAGGUUCUAGACAAUUGUUCCAGGUUGUUGACGAAGUUUAGGAGUGGUGUGGUGAUGUUUAACUGCUGUUAAAUUGUUUCUAAUAUGAUAUUUAGAUGUGCCAAGGUCUCUACUAGGUGAUGUAUUAUGCUUGUGUUAUCAAUUUCUUUCAAAUGAUUAUUUCAACAAUUUUAAGUUAUAUACUUGUGUGUUAGUCCACCCGCGAAAUUUGCGGGAUCUUAGGCUAGUUAUUAAAUAUAAUAAAUAAGUUUGCUAAUUA
RNA transcript from Helianthus annuus (common sunflower), 3159 nucleotides. It is a transcript of the gene named BTB/POZ domain-containing protein At3g44820-like, with no coding region annotated. NCBI's taxonomy places the organism in Eukaryota, Viridiplantae, Streptophyta, Magnoliopsida, Asterales, Asteraceae. The transcript has 6 exons. The record is from RefSeq and is a predicted model, not a curated record.